GGGCCCGUAGCUCAGCUUGGUUUUGGGGUAUCAACCCAACAAGAAUAGAGCACCGGUCUUAUAAGCCGGUGGUCGGGAGUUCAAAUCUCCCCGGGCCCA
RNAcentral lists this transfer RNA (99 nucleotides) under Candidatus Woesearchaeota archaeon. RNAcentral's name for it is "tRNA-Ile". It matches the Rfam family "tRNA". From Rfam's summary of the family: Transfer RNA (tRNA) molecules are approximately 80 nucleotides in length. Their secondary structure includes four short double-helical elements and three loops (D, anti-codon, and T loops). The record is from RNAcentral. Lineage: Archaea; Nanobdellati; Candidatus Woesearchaeota.